This 221-nucleotide long non-coding RNA is filed under the name Hordeum vulgare. RNAcentral describes it as "long non-coding RNA (HVUL_LNC019403)". Lineage: Eukaryota; Viridiplantae; Streptophyta; Magnoliopsida; Poales; Poaceae. The record is from RNAcentral.
UAUAACUUAUGCAUUUGCUCCAUUUGCUACGCCCAUGCAUGUGAUGUUUGCCACACGCUAUUUUGAUGUGGCUAAAGAACUUCUGAAUAAUUCUGUACAUAAUAUGUAUUGCUUCCAUCACAGUGGUGUUUGUCUCUGUUGUGGCUUUGCUUGUGAGGUGCAGUAUUUGUUUCUGUUUGUAGGCUGAAACUCUCGCUUUCUCACAGGCCUCGGUUAACUGC